Molecule: ribosomal RNA, 234 nt
Filed under: uncultured bacterium
Lineage: Bacteria
Description: partial 16S ribosomal RNA
Rfam family: Bacterial small subunit ribosomal RNA
Source: RNAcentral
GGCGGACGGGUGAGUAAUACAUAGGAAUCUACCCAGUAGCGGGGGACAACUUGGGGAAACUCAAGCUAAUACCGCAUACGCCCCACGGGGGAAAGCAGGGGAUCUUCGGACCUUGCACUAUUGGAUGAGCCUAUGUCAGAUUAGCUUGUUGGUGGGGUAACGGCCUACCAAGGCGACGAUCUGUAGCUGGUCUGAGAGGACGAUCAGCCACACUGGGACUGAGACACGGCCCAG